CGGGGUGUGGCUCAGCUUGGUAGAGCGUUCGGUUCGGGACCGAAAGGCCGGAGGUUCAAAUCCUCUCACCCCGACCA
Molecule: transfer RNA, 77 nt
Filed under: Bacillota bacterium
Lineage: Bacteria; Bacillati; Bacillota
Also listed under: 2 other names
Description: Firmicutes bacterium (anaerobic digester metagenome) tRNA-Pro
Rfam family: tRNA
About the family: Transfer RNA (tRNA) molecules are approximately 80 nucleotides in length. Their secondary structure includes four short double-helical elements and three loops (D, anti-codon, and T loops).
Source: RNAcentral